Molecule: small nuclear RNA, 107 nt
Filed under: Sorex araneus (European shrew)
Lineage: Eukaryota; Metazoa; Chordata; Mammalia; Eulipotyphla; Soricidae
Source: RNAcentral
GUGCUCGCUUCGGCAGCACAUAUACUAAAAUUGGAAUGAAAUAUAGAAGAUUAGCAUGGCCCCUGCACAAGGAUGAAUGGGAAAAGACAUUUGUAUUCAACAAAUCA